This 253-nucleotide ribosomal RNA is filed under the name uncultured bacterium. RNAcentral describes it as "partial 16S ribosomal RNA". It matches the Rfam family "Bacterial small subunit ribosomal RNA", at positions 524 to 776 of the family's 1533-position model. The record is from RNAcentral.
UACGUAGGGCGCGAGCGUUGUCCGGAAUCAUUGGGCGUAAAGAGCGUGUAGGCGGCUUGGUAAGUCCGCUGUGAAAGUCCAGGGCUCAACCCUGGAAAGCCGGUGGAAACUGUCAAGCUUGAGUCCGGAAGAGGCGAGUGGAAUUCCUGGUGUAGCGGUGAAAUGCGCAGAUAUCAGGAGGAACACCAAUGGCGAAGGCAGCUCGCUGGGACGGUACUGACGCUGAGACGCGAAAGCGUGGGGAGCAAACAGG